RNAcentral lists this microRNA (19 nucleotides) under Macrophomina phaseolina MS6. RNAcentral's name for it is "miR-3885-5p". The record is from RNAcentral. Lineage: Eukaryota; Fungi; Ascomycota; Dothideomycetes; Botryosphaeriales; Botryosphaeriaceae.
CAGGCGGCGGCGGCGGCGG